This 253-nucleotide ribosomal RNA is filed under the name uncultured bacterium. RNAcentral's name for it is "partial 16S ribosomal RNA". It matches the Rfam family "Bacterial small subunit ribosomal RNA", at positions 79 to 334 of the family's 1533-position model. The record is from RNAcentral.
CAAUACCGGGUGGCGACCGGCGCACGGGUGAGUAACACGUAUCCAACCUGCCCUUUACUCGGGGAUAGCCUUUCGAAAGAAAGAUUAAUACCCGAUAGCAUAAUGAUUCCGCAUGGUUUCAUUAUUAAAGGAUUCCGGUAAAGGAUGGGGAUGCGUUCCAUUAGGUUGUUGGUGAGGUAACGGCUCACCAAGCCUUCGAUGGAUAGGGGUUCUGAGAGGAAGGUCCCCACAUUGGAACUGAGACACGGUCCAA